CUGAGCCAAGUUAAACCUCUGCUGCUUUAAACUCAGAGCCAAGAACCCCCUCUACACGCUGAAAAAAGAUGAUGUGUGGGGAUGCACACAAGGAAGAAGAAGCAGAAAGACCCAAAGGAGCUUCACCUGGCUGAAGAAUAAAUAUGAGGAAGAAAUACAACAACUGUAAAGCAAAGUUUAUGCGCAUGCAGCAAUAAUGAGGCCAUCACAGUGACAUAACCAGAAGAAGACCA
Fukomys damarensis (Damara mole-rat) is the source of this 233-nucleotide long non-coding RNA. RefSeq lists it as uncharacterized. Lineage: Eukaryota; Metazoa; Chordata; Mammalia; Rodentia; Bathyergidae. The record is from RefSeq and is a predicted model, not a curated record. The transcript has 3 exons.